RNAcentral lists this long non-coding RNA (385 nucleotides) under Nicotiana benthamiana. RNAcentral describes it as "long non-coding RNA (NBEN_LNC032136)". The record is from RNAcentral. Lineage: Eukaryota; Viridiplantae; Streptophyta; Magnoliopsida; Solanales; Solanaceae.
AGGUCUCAGCUGCAGGUUCUUUAGCUCAUACAGAUAAUGUCUCUUUUUCUAAUUCAAAUCUCCUUCUAAAUGCUAACAUUGAGAAAAUUGGAUCUGUCAUAAACUCAGACAACAAGCAAAAUGUUAACUUUGAACACCUCAAUGUCAAUCUUUUGGCAAGAAAUUUAGCUCCUGCUUUGAGCUUCAUUGAGAAAAUUGUAUCUGUCAUAAACUCAGACAACAAGCAAAAUGUUAACUUUGAACACCUCAAUGUCAAUCUUUUGGCAAGAAAUUUACCUCCUGCUUUGAGCUUUCAAGAACAACAAUCAGAACAGAGUUCUGCUUAUGUUAAUAUGCUAGGCUCAUUGUCAUAUGAUAUAAGUCAAGAGCAGCCCCCGCCCAAACG